AUUUGGAGAUCGUGGUGUGAAAGGAAUGAUGCUAGCUGCAAAGUAUGCCAGAGAAAAUAAAGUUCCAUAUCUUGGGAUUUGCUUGACCAUGCCGAUUUCUGUUAUUGAGUAUGCUAGAUCUAUAUAUGCGGUUUCUAUUACUAUUCGUAUUGUGCUUGGUUUUAUGUUGCUCG
Non-coding RNA from Camellia sinensis, 173 nucleotides. The record is from RefSeq and is a predicted model, not a curated record. NCBI's taxonomy places the organism in Eukaryota, Viridiplantae, Streptophyta, Magnoliopsida, Ericales, Theaceae.